GACGAACGCUGGCGGCGUGCUUAACACAUGCAAGUCGAACGGAAAGGCCCUGCUUGCAGGGUACUCGAGUGGCGAACGGGUGAGUAACACGUGGGUGAUCUGCCCUGCACUUCGGGAUAAGCUUGGGAAACUGGGUCUAAUACCGGAUAGGAGCCAUCUUUAGUGUGGUGGUUGGAAAGUUUUUUCGGUGUAGGAUGAGCUCGCGGCCUAUCAGCUUGUUGGUGGGGUAAUGGCCUACCAAGGCGGCGACGGGUAGCCGGCCUGAGAGGGUGUACGGCCACAUUGGGACUGAGAUAUGGCCCAGACUCCUACGGGAGGCAGCAGUGGGGAAUAUUGCACAAUGGGCGCAAGCCUGAUGCGGCGACGCCGCGUGGGGGAUGAAGGCCUUCGGGUUGUAAACUCCUUUCGCUAGGGACGAAGCUUUUUUGUGACGGUACCUAGAGAAGAAGCACCGGCUAACUACGUG
This 466-nucleotide ribosomal RNA is filed under the name uncultured bacterium. RNAcentral's name for it is "partial 16S ribosomal RNA". It matches the Rfam family "Bacterial small subunit ribosomal RNA", at positions 28 to 507 of the family's 1533-position model. The record is from RNAcentral.